UAAGUUUUGGUCUGAAGAACUUGAAGAAGUAACUUUUACUUGUCUAACCUGUUGCAACCCAUCAUUAUACAUCUAAGACUUAACUUAGUUGCACAGUAUUUUAACUGACAAUUUUAAUACAUUCGUGUAAAAUAAGUCAUUGUGAGACUAAUUUUAAACUAUUAAAGAAAAUGUUAGUAGUUUCUGCACCUGAAGUUAACCCUCGGAGAUUGCAUGCCUCAAAUUCUAGAGGACAAAUUCAGAUUAUUUUUGGGCCUAUGUUUUCAGGAAAAACGACUGAACUUAUCAGAAGGCUGAAGAGGUAUGAAGUAGCCAACCACUCUUGUCUGAUGAUAAAGUAUGCAAAUGACACACGUUAUAGUGCUGAACAGGUUUCUACCCAUGACCAUCAGACUUUACCAGCAGUCCAAACUACUGAACUUGGAUGCCUUAAAGAUGAAAGCAAGAAGUAUAGUGUGAUUGGCAUUGAUGAAGGCCAGUUUGUAAGUUUUUCAGAUAUAGUGGAGUUUGCUGAGGAAAUGGCAAAUAUUGGAAAAGUGGUAAUUGUUGCUGCCUUAGAUGGAACAUAUCAAAGACAGGGUUUUGGUAACAUUCUCUUUUUGGUUCCACUGGCUGAAAGUGUAAUUAAACUCACUGCAGUUUGUAUGAAUUGUUUUGAAGAGGCUUCUUACACCAAGAGAAAAGGCUCAGAAAAACAGGUUGAAAUUAUUGGAGGACCAGAAAAGUAUAAGUCUGUUUGCCGUGCAUGUUAUUUUAAAGUAUCACCUGUAAAAGACUCAACAGAGUUGCCUUAUUCAAUGGAUAAAGAGAGAUCUGUCGUAGUUCGUCAGUUGAACGUGAACUAAUAAUGAUAGUGAUCAUUAAAAUCUUGGCUGAGGAAUAAUAACCCUAAAAAGUCAAGUGCUUCUGAUUGGAUAUUACUGAGAAGAACUACUCUUACAUAAAACAAUAAAAAAGUCCAUUGAUGGUUCAAAGGCUCACAGAAAGAAAAGUGUGGUAAACAAAUUGAAAAUCAAACAUCCUUCUCCUAGUCUACUAGCAAGAACAGUCUAAGUGAUAAAUGCAUAUGAUCCAAGAAUGUUCAUGCAUACCUUUGGUGGGUAACUUCACUAAGUUUAGCAGAUGUUGAUUCUGAACCACUUAUCACUGGAGUGGUAGAAGUAGAACGACAAAAAAGGCUAGACAUCACAGUUGGGAAUGUUUUUUCUUGUUCCAGGGAGAGUGGAAAACUUACCAAUGGCUGCUGAAAAACAUUAGUUGUCGAAGUGCUGACAUGAGAAGCACUGUGUUUCAUUUGAAGAUGAGUAGCAAGAUUGGUUUUUAAUGUUACUGAUGCUGAAGUUGAUGAAGCAUAACUGUUAUUAUCUGAAACCCCUGUAGAUAAACACUUCAGAUAAUUAUUCUAAAUCUUAAAUACCACCAAUGAGUCCAAAAAUGAUUCAUAUAAGUAAACAUGUAUUUGUUAAGGACCUAUAUAUAGUUUCACAACAAAAUAAAUAUAACCUGAAUGCCAAAAAUGAGCAUUCUCCCUUUAUAUAGUUUUGGUAUCAUGCAUGGAGAAAUGUAAACAAGCUCACAUUUGUUGAGAAACAUUUCUAAUUCGUGAUAAAAUACCAUUGAAUAUUGUAUUCUCAAAACAUAACUAGGGACAAAAUAUGCAAUUAUAACAGCAAAACUGUAAACAAAUAAAUAACAAUUGUUUUUUAUUUAAUCUAGUAAACUUUUUACCAGCUACACUCAAUUUUAAUAUUUUUAGUUAUGUUUUUUCUAUCUAUUCUUCUUCAUUAUUCUAUUUUUAACCUGUUGUUUGUUUAUAAAUAGUUUAAUACUAAGUGUAAACAAAUGGCACAUAUUAACAUUUGGAUGGUGAAUAAUAGUCAUAUAUUUACUUUAAAAUGAAAGAUAUGCAAAUAUAACAAUAUCAUUGUAGUUAUUAGUCAGUCAGGUACUGACCCAAUGCAAAUAUUAAGAAAUUAUUAAAUGUAAACUUUACCAUGCUGCUGUUGCUGUAUUUUUUGUUGUAAGUGUUUUUGAAGUAACUGUCGUUGGUUUAAUUUGGUUUCAAUUUCUUCAGGACCAGAGCAAGCUGCUGUAGUGAUAACUGGUAAAAUCGAAUUCAUAGUCUCAGAACUUGAAUGUGGGUUGAUAACUGGUAAUUGUGUCACUGAGUUCUGCAUGCAUAAUUGGUCCUGCAAAAAGUUUUGAUGUUGUUGAAGUUGUAUUUGAGACCUGAAACACAGAAAGAUUGUUGUAAAACAAAAAUAUUCUGCUACAUGACAUCUUACAAUACUUUAGUUUUUGUAAUCCACUACUAAAGAACUUUGAAAGACAGAAAAUAUUCUCUUAAUAAAUGUUAAGUUCAUAUAGCAUUUAGGAUUACUCUAAACAUGUCUUAAAUACUCCACCUUAGCUUUUGUAAACUAUAUAAAUACCUAUUAAAUGAUUAAAUAUUCCUUGAGAAGAAACUUAAUGGAAUUAAAGAAAAUAAUGACAUUCUAGAAGAGCAUUUAAAACUAUACUGAAAUUCAUUCUUUGGUACAAUUUAGUGUAUACAUGUGUGUAUGUGUGUGUUUAUACAUAUAUAUAUAUGGGUUAAUGGUUAUUAAUGGUUACAGGUUUGCAUAAAUAACAGUAAGUAUAUUGGAACCUUAAUUAAUCUAAUCAAUAAACG
This 2671-nucleotide unclassified non-coding RNA is filed under the name Limulus polyphemus (Atlantic horseshoe crab). RNAcentral describes it as "thymidine kinase, cytosolic-like, transcript variant X5". Lineage: Eukaryota; Metazoa; Arthropoda; Merostomata; Xiphosura; Limulidae. The record is from RNAcentral.